AGUUAUUGGAANGGGNNCAAUUUNAACCCCUUUUAACGAGUNUUUANUAAAAAGGCCAGUUNUGGUCCNANCANCCCNCGGUAAUUCCAGCUUCUCAAAAUGCANAAAAUUAUUGCUGCGGUUAAAAAGCUCGAGUUGGAUUUGCGCCGACUGGCNGGUCCCCNUUUUGGGUGCGUACUGGUUCGGUUGGCUUUUCCGCCGGAGUGCCUGGCGUUGGUGUGCUCGCAAGGGUGUGCCAGCGCGGGUCCGGCAAGUUUACUUUGAACAAAUCAGAGUGCUUCAAACAGGCGUCUCGCCUGAAUGUUCGUGCAUGGAAUAAUAGAAGAGGAUUUCGGUCCGAUUUUAUUGGUUUUGCUGACCGAGAUAAUGGUUAACAGAGACAAACGGGGCCAUUCGUAUUGCUGCGUGAGAGGUGAAAUUCUUGGACCGUAGCAAGACGGACUACAGCGAAAGCAUUUGGCAAGAAUGUCUUCAUUAAUCAAGAACGAAAGUCAGAGGUUCGAAGGCGAUCAGAUACCGCCCUAGUUCUGACCGUAAACGAUGCCAACUAGCGAUCCGCCGGCGGAUUCAUUCGCCCUGGUGGGGAGCUUCCCGGAAACGAAAGUCUUCCGGUUCCGGGGGAAGUAUGGUUGCAAAGCUGAAACUUAAAGGAAUUGACGGAAGGGCACCACCAGGAGUGGAGCCUGCGGCUUAAUUUGACUAAGGGC
This 707-nucleotide ribosomal RNA is filed under the name nematode environmental sample AGO-2003. RNAcentral's name for it is "SSU rRNA". It matches the Rfam family "Eukaryotic small subunit ribosomal RNA", at positions 504 to 1206 of the family's 1831-position model. The record is from RNAcentral. Lineage: Eukaryota; Metazoa; Nematoda.